AGGCGCCUGAGCGUUGUUAUUGCUCCGAGGCGCUGUCUGUCUGCAAGGGCACUGGUGGGACGUGCGGCUUCCAUUUGUCACGUCCGGCACGCAGAGAGCCGCUGGGUACCUUCGAGACUAGAGAUGAGAACAUUGAAGCUCAAAUAGAUCAGGAAGCUUUAUCCACUACAGAUCUGAAGCAGCAUCAGAGAUGCAAAGAUCUUAAAUGGGAAAGAGCCUGAGUCAAUGCAAAAAGUCCAGUGUUGGCUGGAAAAUUGAGUGGAAGGAAGAGAGGUCUAAAAUUACACUGAUGAGGCAAGGUAUAAAAUCUGCUGAAAUUGAAGGGAGACAGUCUGCCUAAGCUGCAAGAGAACACUGCACACCACAGUCAACAAGAAAUGCCUGUGGAGGGCACUGGACAUGGGAGUUGCACCUAGAGCUCCACAGAGCUGACUUUUUUCAUUUCAAUAAAUACAUAAAUUUAUAGUGUCAUUUAUGAGGCUUGCAUAGCUUGCCAUUUUAUAUACAUAUCAUAAUUUAUUUUAUCAUUGUCCUAUUGGUAAAUGUUAUUUUGGUUUCCCAGUUUCCACUGUUACAUAUAAUGCUUCAGGAAAUGGUUUUGGUUAUCUUGAAGAAUUUGUCCAGUAAUUUCCUUACUAUUAAUUUCUGGCAGUCCAAAAUUCUAUGUCAAAGAGUAUGGGCAUUAAAAAAUAUUUAAUGGAAAAUACAUACAUACAUAGGUUGAUCAAAAUUCAGAUCAUACAAAAGGAUAUACAGUGAAAAAUAAGCCUCCUUCUUACUCCAUGCCUUCCAAGUCCCUCCUUUUUUUUCACAUAAAUGAUAGCAUAAUAUAUACAUGGUUGACUUUUCUUCAUUCAAAAUAUCUUGGAAAGAUUCCCAUGUCUUAUUUUUCUUUUAUUUUCUAUGCUAAAAAUGAAUAAUGAACCUUGAAGAUGUUAUGCUAAGAGAAAUAAACCAGAAACAAAAGGGCAAAUAUUAUGAUUCUAUUUACAUGAAGUACCUAGGGUAGUCAAAUUCAUAGGAUAGGAAUUAAAACAGUGGUUACUAUGGACUGGGAAGAGGGGGAAUGGGAAUUCGCUCUUUAAUAAGUACAGAGUUAGUUUGGGAUAACGAGAAAGUUUUGAAGAUAGGUAGUGGUGAUAGUCACACAAUAAUGUGAAUGUACUUAAUACCACUGAAUUGUACACUUAAAAUGGUUUAAAUAGUACACUUUAUGUUAUGUAUAUUUUAG
Long non-coding RNA from Camelus dromedarius (Arabian camel), 1231 nucleotides. RefSeq lists it as uncharacterized. The transcript has 3 exons. The record is from RefSeq and is a predicted model, not a curated record. NCBI's taxonomy places the organism in Eukaryota, Metazoa, Chordata, Mammalia, Artiodactyla, Camelidae.